RNAcentral lists this unclassified non-coding RNA (4336 nucleotides) under Diabrotica virgifera virgifera (western corn rootworm). Its description in RNAcentral is "uncharacterized LOC126882350". The record is from RNAcentral. Lineage: Eukaryota; Metazoa; Arthropoda; Insecta; Coleoptera; Chrysomelidae.
GGUUGCCUAUAUAAACUUGAAUCGGGGACUUUUGUGUGUUUGUGUUAUUUAAAAUUUAAAACGCUGAUAACUCCAUUUAGUGAUAAUAAAAACCGAUAUUUACUGCGGUUACAUGAUAUUUAAUAUUAAAAUAGUAUUGGAUGUGGUAGAAUGUAGACUCUUUGUAUAAUUACCAAUUAAGCAGUGAAGCUGUUAGAUCAAUUUUCCGAUUCAAUCAUUUCUACUGUUUACAGUUCAAUAAGCCUUUACAGUUCUGUGUUUGUGUUUGCUUUUGAGUAGGUAUUUCAUUUUCUUGACAACGAAAAUGUUCGGUGUGGAAAGAAUUAAUAAGUGCGUGGAAUGCGGAAACGUGUAUAAGCGUAAACAUGAUUUAAAAAGACAUGUAAAUAGUUCGCAUCCCGACAAAUUGGAUGCAAUUGCCCCUUUAAAAGUGCUUAAAGGUAACGUCUAUAAGUGCGCACAUUGUGAUAAACAAUUUAGACAUAAGCAAAGUUUAAACUUUCAUGUCAAAAAAAUGCACACAAAUGUAUCAGUUUCUGCAGAAACUAAAACAUUUCAACAUAAAUGUUCUCUGUGUGAUUAUCAUGCAACUUUUAAAAAGGACUUUAUUAAACAUUAUGAAACUUCUCAUAGCAUUCCUAUGCAAUACGAUACAAUAGAGUUUUCCAACCAUGAUGACUUUAUUUCUUGGAAGAAUAAAAUAGAGCUUGAAACAAAUGCUAGUUUUGUUGUGGAAACAGGAAAAAAGGCAGGAAUAAUGAACUACAUAUGCCACCGAUCGGGAUAUUUCACCUCAAAAGGUAAGGGCGAGAGGCACCUGAAAACACACGGUAGUGUCAAAAUUAAUGGAUACUGUCCUGCUAUGAUAAAAGAAGUUGCCCAAAGUGAUGGAAAAUAUUUAGCCCAUUUCACCAAAACUCAUGUUGGUCAUCAAAAUGCAAUUGGGCGCCUAUUUUUGCCAUCCUCAGAGAGAAAAACAAUUGCUGCGAAACUAGCUGCAAAAAUUCCAUUUGAAGCAGUUUUAGAUGGAGUGAGAGAUGGAAUUUCAGACACAGACAAGUUUCAAAGAAAGCACCUUUUGACAAAAAAAGAUCUCUACAAUAUUGAGGCCAGCUUUAACCUUCGCUCUACUACAGUAAGACACAGAGAUGAUGCUGUUAGCCUAGAAUCUUGGGUAAAUGAAAUGAAAACUAGCUGCGUUUUAUUUUAUAAGCCUCAAGAUAUUACAUUGGAUGAGUACCCCCAGCUGCAUAGUGAUGAUUUUAUUUUAAUAAUUAUGAACACUGGUCAACUCACUACAUUGAAGAAGUUUGGAAGUGACUGUAUUUGUGUCGAUGGAACUCAUGGUGUUAACAGCUACCAAUUUGAGCUUCACACUUUAUUAGUUCUUGAUGACCUACGCCAAGGCUUUCCCUGUUGUUUCUGUAUCUGCAGCAGAAGCGAUGAGACUAUAAUGUCUUUAUUUUUCAAUUGUAUCAAGAAAGAAAGUGGACCUAUUGAGGCAAGAGUUUUUAUGUCUGACAUGGCAGAUGUGUACUAUAAUGCAUGGUCAAAAGUAAUGGGUGAAACACAUUUCCGCUUAUAUUGUACAUAGCAUGUGGAUCGUGCGUGGAGAAAGAACUUGACUUUGAUUAAGACCAAAGAAAAACAGGAAUUGGUGUAUAAAACUUUAAGAGUUCUUCUGCAAGAGACAGAUCCCUCUGCCUUUGAACCAAUGUUACAAAGUUUUGUAGAAAAUACCCUUGAUGAUCCAAGUACUGUUGAUUUUGGUCAUUAUUUUCAAUCAAAUUAUUCAAGUAAGGCUAUGUCCUGGGCUUACUGCUAUAGGAUGCAUGCUGGCCUAAACACCAACAUGCACAUUGAACGGAUGCAUGGGACGAUAAAGUAUAUUUAUUUCCAAGGCAAAAACAAUAAAAGAUUACGCAAAGCUGUAAAUGCCCUCAUGAAAUUCGUAAGAGAUAAGCUCUUUGACAGGCUAAUAAUCCUCAACAAAGGAAAACUGUCCUCUAAAAUUGUAGAGUUAAGAAGAAGACAUAAAACUAGUUUAGAUCUAGACAUGUCUCGUAUUAUAAAUUUGGAAGACACUUGGCAGAUUCCAUCUUCAACAAAAGCAGAGAUAUAUAUCAUCAACGAAAAUGAUAUACAAUGCGAAUGUCAACUUAUUUGCACGGAUUGCAAAGUGUGUAUCCACAAAUAUUCGUGCAGCUGCAUUGAUUCUGCAAUUGCAUGGAAUAUGUGCAAGCAUGUUCACUUGCUUUGUAGGUAUCGGCAAAUUGAUCAGUCUGGAACAAAGGAAUUGUCACAGGAAGAACAGAAAAUGGAAAUCGUUGAAGAUCACAAAGCAGUCGAAUCCGAAAUUAUUUUUGAAGAGAUGGAUAAUAAGUCUGCUAGCAGGUGCAAAACAUUGGCGAAAAAAAAAGAAGAGAUGUUGCAACACCUAUAUGUUGUAGUUAAUGAGGUUACAACAGUGGAAGAAUGGAAAGCUCUGGAAAAAAUGGUAAAUCCAAUUGAGCCAACCUUGACAGCAAUUCGCCAGCAGACCAUUUCUAAUUUUGAAUCCAAAGAUUCUAAACCCAGCAAUUCAAAAAUUUUGAAACAGAGACGGCUGUUCAGUACAAAGAAAAAACGCAACAAAAAGAAAAUGGUGACUAAACCUACAAGUGAAGAAUGUGACGCUAUUGCAAUUAACUUACUUAAUUAAAGUUUAGAUAAACUUUAAUUAAGUAAGUUAAUUGCAAAAACUUAAGUUUUUGGGUAAUUUUUUUUCUUAAUCGCAUCCACCCUUUUUGCUUAUUUCAUAUUUUUAACUUGGUAUCAGAGCAGCUGAUGGGCAGUAUUUCGAAAUUUAAAUAUUUUUUGUAUAUUUAAAUAUUCUUUUUCUCGUGAUCAUCUUUCAGUGCGUCACAGUUUUUCGAUUUCUUUCUAACGCAUUAAAUUGUAUGUGACAGAAAAAAAGGCACGUCGGUGAUUACUUCUAGUUCUGUGAUUAUUCUAGUUGUCAAUAGAUGGCGCCAUAAUUAAAAAAAAUAAUUUUUUUUAAUUAGAUAAUAAUAUUACAAAUAUAAUCUGUAUAAUUUAUAAGACUAUACAAAUCAAAGAAAAUACCAUUUUAUAAAUGCAAGAAACACAUUUUAUUUGUUUUUAUUCUAAAUUGAAAAUAAAAUGUGACAACUGUCAGAUUUAACUAAAUUGUCAUGUUAGAAUAAAUGUCAUAAAUGUGUAUUAUCACGGACUUACCCUUUUUCCUAUCAUUUGUGACGCACUGAAAAAUGAUCAUGAAAAGGACAAUACUCUAUAAUAAUUAUAAAUAAGUAAGUACUUGGAAUUUAAAUACUUACAGUCUAAAGUAUUUAAACACCUACAAAAAGUAGGUAUUUAAAUUUUGAAAUAAUGCCCACCAGCUGUGAACCAAGUUAAAAGAAAUGUGCAACAAGGGUGCAUGAUUAAAAAAAAAUUUACCCAAAUACUUGGAUAAUUUUUUAGUAUUUAAAUACUUGGUAUUUACAUACUUUUCAACAUUGGUAUUUAAUAUUUAUGAUACCUACUUGCUUUCCUAAAUUUAAUAAAAUUUUAAUUUUCUUAUAUUAUCUAAUCCUUGUUUUAUUUAAGUCAAGCAUAGCCACAGUUAUAGGUAUAGAUCACUCUUUAUAGGUAGUAAUAACUUUUCAGUUUCAUUUUUAAGUACAUCUACAAAAAAAGUACCUACUACAUAUUUGUGUCAUUCAUGCCUUACAAUGUGAAUUUUUAAAGUGGUUGAGCACAUAUAUAGCAAAAUUCUAUUAUUUAUAAAAUUCUUUCAUGCAGCAUGACUUGCUCAAAAACGUUUUUAGGUACCUUUUCGUAUUUUCCCAUUUCUCAGAAGUUUUCGAAAUAUGUAGGUAGGUACCUACCCAGUUGACCAUUUUACAGAGCAACUACAUUUCAGUUACAUCACACAUGUUCCUUGUUCUAUCAUAGAUACAUCACAAGAAAAGCGCGUAAACAUAGCAGAGCUAUCUCUGCUAUGCUCCUAUGUCCUACCCUAAAAGGGAGCAAAACUCUUUUCUUGAGCACUAAAUUAUGUCACGUAUAUGUCGCAGCUACAGAACAAUACUCUUUUCUUAAGCGUUAAAGGAUGUCAGAUAUAUGUUGCAGCUAUGGAGCAAAACUCUUUUCUCAAGCAUCACAUAAUGUCUCUUAUCUGUAGCAGCUAUGUAUCAGAUAUGUUUCAGUUUUGUGUCAACUAUGUCUCGUAGAGUGCACGUUGAGAAAAAUAUUUACAAUAAAAUUGCUUCUUUAACUUUAUAUUACUGUAGAUAGUAUUUUUACUUGACAUUGUAAAUAUAUAAUUGACAUU